Molecule: long non-coding RNA, 294 nt
Organism: Dermochelys coriacea (leatherback sea turtle)
Lineage: Eukaryota; Metazoa; Chordata; Testudines; Dermochelyidae
Exons: 2
Source: RefSeq, a predicted model, not a curated record
GUUAAUUGAGAUUAACUUUUUUAAUUGCUCGACAGCCCUACUUAUAAGAUGACCACCACCUCUUCCUCCACUUCCAGGAUUUUGAAUAGGGUCUGAUCUAGUAGGUGUGCACCGAGGACACUUACCAGAUAAGGCCCUGCAGAGAAAAUAGGCAGGUGAACACCUAACUUCCCAGGUUGCUGGAUUGUGCUGGGGCUUAGGUGUCUGGAUGUCAGAGUGAAGUAGCAGCACUCAUGUGCCCGGAGGCAGAAAGGCUUUCAGCAGGGCAUUCAGUAAGAAACAGUUUUAAUAAGC